GCCAGGCAUGGUGGCUCAUGCCUGUAAUCCCAGCACUUUGGGAGGCUGAGGCAGGUGGAUUGCUUGAGGCCAGGAGUUUGAGACUGGCCUGGCCAACAUGGCAAAAUCCUGUCUCUA
Molecule: unclassified non-coding RNA, 117 nt
Organism: Pongo abelii (Sumatran orangutan)
Lineage: Eukaryota; Metazoa; Chordata; Mammalia; Primates; Hominidae
Rfam family: Metazoan signal recognition particle RNA
About the family: The signal recognition particle (SRP) is a universally conserved ribonucleoprotein. It is involved in the co-translational targeting of proteins to membranes. The eukaryotic SRP consists of a 300-nucleotide 7S RNA and six proteins: SRPs 72, 68, 54, 19, 14, and 9.
Source: Ensembl